GAUGACUACAUUCAUUGUGGAAAGUUGAUACGUGUCCAUUUCUUGACACCAUCAUGGAAAAAAUUAUUUAAUAUCCUCACUCUUAAGGAGAAUGGAGGUUGCUGGUCUUAUUAUUCAUCUCAAUUCAGGUCUGGCAAUCUCAGAGCUUCUUAAGCAAUCCCUCAGCGAAAACUCUCUCAUCAGCUUUUCAUUAGCAAUAAAAAUAGCUUUCCUGCCACCUUCUGGGAAAUAAUUUACCAUAGAACCACUAAGCUGUGAGGAACUUCUGCAGAUCAUCUAAUCAAGGGCAUCUGCUGUUAACAAGGCACGGAAUGGAUGGACUAUUUUAGACUCCUCUGGGUGCCAGAAAACUACACAC
Molecule: long non-coding RNA, 358 nt
Organism: Fukomys damarensis (Damara mole-rat)
Lineage: Eukaryota; Metazoa; Chordata; Mammalia; Rodentia; Bathyergidae
Exons: 4
Source: RefSeq, a predicted model, not a curated record